AGGUUUUCCAGAGAGAGGCUGUUAGCCUGUCUCUCGCCCACUCCACCACUGUGAAUCCUGGCUACUGGGGCUAGUUCCUUGCUAGGAAAAAAAAACUCUAGAGAAAUGUGUUUGUGUGUGGUGGGUGGGCGGGGGCCCUGAGGAUGCAGGGACUGUGUCUGCUGUGUUGUCUGUUAUAAGAUGUUUCAGACCUAUUUUGCAUACUGGCAGCGACAAGUUGAGACUUGUUCAACUUGACACAGUCCUGUGGUCAUAGCGAAUCUUUCUAAAGCUCUGAUCAGUCAAGAAGGGGGUUGUAUCAAUCCUCAGAACCCUGAGUGGAACUUUCUACAGGAUUUAUUAGGAGAAAAACCUUCCCGGAAGCUGCAGAAGGACAAAUACAGAAUCCGUGUCUGGGAGAAACCUCGUGGCCUGGUCUCCAUUAUUUGAGAUGAGUUACAUCUUGGAGGCCUGAUCUUUUGGCCAGAAGGAGAUUAAAAAGAUGCCCCUCAAGAUGGCUGUGCCUGUCAGCUGCAUGGAGCUUCGUUCAAGUAUUUUCUGAGCCUGAUGGAUUUACAGUGAUCUUCAGUGGUCUGGGGAAUAACGCUGGUGGAACCAUGCACUGGAAUGACACACGCCCGGCACAUUUCAGGAUACUAAAAGUGGUUUUAAGGGAGGCUGUGGCUGAAUGCCUCAUGGAUUCUUACAGCUUGGAUGUCCAUGGGGGACGAAGGACUGCAGCUGGCUGAGAGGGUUGAGAUCUCUGUUUACUUAGAUCUCUGCCAACUUCCUUUGGGUCUCCCUAUGGAAUGUAAGACCCCGACUCUUCCUGGUGAAGCAUCUGAUGCACGUUCCAUCCGGCGCUCAGCUGGGCUUGAGGACUUCGCAGCUGACCAUACUCCCUGGAGCCUUCUCCCGAGGUGCGCGGGUGACCUUGGCACAUACAGCCAUCAUGAUGGUACUUUAAGUGGAGGCUGAAUCAUCUCCCCUUUGAGCUGCUUGGCACGUGGCUCCCUUGGUGUUCCCCUUUUACUGCCAGGACACUGAGAUUUGGAGAGAAUCCUGUUACACCUGGGAUUUAGGCACUUUCAAUCUGAAAAAAUACAUAUCCUUUCAGCACUCUGGACGGACUUGAGAACUGUCCUUACGUGACCUAAAGCUGGAGUAUUUUGAGAUUGGAGAAUUAAGGCCUUCAGUGGGUUGAAUGAGGCCCAACCCACAUUGAAGAGGACCAUCUGCUUUACUCAGUCUCCUGGUUGAAGUGAUAAUCUCAUCUGGACAUACUCAGAAAUGCUGUUUAACCAGCUCUCUGGAAAUCCUGUGGCCCAGUCAAGUUGACACACAAAAUUAACCAUCACACUGCAGAGACACAGUCUAUCCCAAUACCUGUAUUUACUGGAGUGUGGGCACCCUGGCUUCAAGCUCACGAGAAACCAGGUCGGGAUUUAAACAAUGUUGGGUUAAAGCAAAGUUUCAUAAAGACAGAAUCAAGAAAAAAAGAAAGAG
This 1485-nucleotide long non-coding RNA is filed under the name Homo sapiens (human). RNAcentral describes it as "Pvt1 oncogene". The stretch from base 869 to 1037 matches the Rfam family "Pvt1 oncogene conserved region 4". Lineage: Eukaryota; Metazoa; Chordata; Mammalia; Primates; Hominidae. The record is from RNAcentral.